This 1040-nucleotide ribosomal RNA is filed under the name Enterococcus faecium. RNAcentral's name for it is "bacterial SSU rRNA". It matches the Rfam family "Bacterial small subunit ribosomal RNA", at positions 198 to 1226 of the family's 1533-position model. Lineage: Bacteria; Bacillati; Bacillota; Bacilli; Lactobacillales; Enterococcaceae. The record is from RNAcentral.
AUUUGAAAGGCGCUUUCGGGUGUCGCUGAUGGAUGGACCCGCGGUGCAUUAGCUAGUUGGUGAGGUAACGGCUCACCAAGGCCACGAUGCAUAGCCGACCUGAGAGGGUGAUCGGCCACAUUGGGACUGAGACACGGCCCAAACUCCUACGGGAGGCAGCAGUAGGGAAUCUUCGGCAAUGGACGAAAGUCUGACCGAGCAACGCCGCGUGAGUGAAGAAGGUUUUCGGAUCGUAAAACUCUGUUGUUAGAGAAGAACAAGGAUGAGAGUAACUGUUCAUCCCUUGACGGUAUCUAACCAGAAAGCCACGGCUAACUACGUGCCAGCAGCCGCGGUAAUACGUAGGUGGCAAGCGUUGUCCGGAUUUAUUGGGCGUAAAGCGAGCGCAGGCGGUUUCUUAAGUCUGAUGUGAAAGCCCCCGGCUCAACCGGGGAGGGUCAUUGGAAACUGGGAGACUUGAGUGCAGAAGAGGAGAGUGGAAUUCCAUGUGUAGCGGUGAAAUGCGUAGAUAUAUGGAGGAACACCAGUGGCGAAGGCGGCUCUCUGGUCUGUAACUGACGCUGAGGCUCGAAAGCGUGGGGAGCAAACAGGAUUAGAUACCCUGGUAGUCCACGCCGUAAACGAUGAGUGCUAAGUGUUGGAGGGUUUCCGCCCUUCAGUGCUGCAGCUAACGCAUUAAGCACUCCGCCUGGGGAGUACGACCGCAAGGUUGAAACUCAAAGGAAUUGACGGGGGCCCGCACAAGCGGUGGAGCAUGUGGUUUAAUUCGAAGCAACGCGAAGAACCUUACCAGGUCUUGACAUCCUUUGACCACUCUAGAGAUAGAGCUUCCCCUUCGGGGGCAAAGUGACAGGUGGUGCAUGGUUGUCGUCAGCUCGUGUCGUGAGAUGUUGGGUUAAGUCCCGCAACGAGCGCAACCCUUAUUGUUAGUUGCCAUCAUUCAGUUGGGCACUCUAGCAAGACUGCCGGUGACAAACCGGAGGAAGGUGGGGAUGACGUCAAAUCAUCAUGCCCCUUAUGACCUGGGCUACACACGUGCU